Long non-coding RNA from Austrofundulus limnaeus, 253 nucleotides. RefSeq lists it as uncharacterized. Lineage: Eukaryota; Metazoa; Chordata; Actinopteri; Cyprinodontiformes; Rivulidae. The record is from RefSeq and is a predicted model, not a curated record. The transcript is spliced from 3 exons.
GGCAGACACAGAGGAGGCACAAAGGUUCCAGGAGGUAAGUUCUUCAGGUUUUCAGGAUGAUUUUUGGUUCUGUGUUUUGUUUCCAGAUCGUUGGAGAGUGACAGGGCGGUUAGUCCACAGCAAGGUUCCAGGGAGAUCUCAUCAAAAGGGUUUCCACAGUCACAGUACCAAGGUGACUGAAUAAUCCAGCGAUAAGUGGAACUUCUCGAGCUCAAGCAUCAGCAGGAUCCAGCACAGCUGAGCUUCAGUCCGA